UACGGGAGGCAGCAGUGGGGAAUAUUGGACAAUGGGCGAAAGCCUGAUCCAGCCAUGCCGCGUGAGUGAUGAAGGCCCUAGGGUUGUAAAGCUCUUUUGUCCGGGAAGAUAAUGACUGUACCGGAAGAAUAAGCCCCGGCUAACUUCGUGCCAGCAGCCGCGGUAAUACGAAGGGGGCUAGCGUUGCUCGGAAUCACUGGGCGUAAAGGGCGCGUAGGCGGAUCUUUAAGUCGGGGGUGAAAGCCCAGGGCUCAACCCUGGAAUUGCCUUCGAUACUGAAGAUCUUGAGACCGGAAGAGGUUAGUGGAACUGCGAGUGUAGAGGUGAAAUUCGUAGAUAUUCGCAAGAACACCAGUGGCGAAGGCGGCUAACUGGUCCGGUUCUGACGCUGAGGCGCGAAAGCGUGGGGAGCAAACAGGAUUAGAUACCCUGGUAG
Molecule: ribosomal RNA, 436 nt
Filed under: uncultured Alphaproteobacteria bacterium
Lineage: Bacteria; Pseudomonadati; Pseudomonadota; Alphaproteobacteria
Description: bacterial SSU rRNA
Rfam family: Bacterial small subunit ribosomal RNA
Source: RNAcentral